CAGCAGCCGCGGGAAUACGAAGGGUGCAAGCGUUAAUCGGAAUUACUGGGCGUAAAGGGUGCGUAGGCGGUUGUUUAAGUCUGUUGUGAAAUCCCCGGGCUCAACCUGGGAAUGGCAAUGGAAACUGGACGGCUAGAGUGUGUCAGAGGAUGGUGGAAUUCCCGGUGUAGCGGUGAAAUGCGUAGAGAUCGGGAGGAACAUCAGUGGCGAAGGCGGCCAUCUGGGACAACACUGACGCUGAGGCACGAAAGCGUGGGGAGCAAACAGGAUUAGAUACCCCCGUAGUCCCUGUCUCUUAUAC
Molecule: ribosomal RNA, 301 nt
Filed under: uncultured bacterium
Lineage: Bacteria
Description: partial 16S ribosomal RNA
Rfam family: Bacterial small subunit ribosomal RNA
Source: RNAcentral